UACGUAGGUGGCAAGCGUUGUCCGGAAUUAUUGGGCGUAAAGCGCGCGCAGGCGGCUUCUUAAGUCUGAUGUGAAAUCUCGGGGCUCAACCCCGAGCGGCCAUUGGAAACUGGGAAGCUUGAGUACAGAAGAGGAGAGUGGAAUUCCACGUGUAGCGGUGAAAUGCGUAGAUAUGUGGAGGAACACCAGUGGCGAAGGCGACUCUCUGGUCUGUAACUGACGCUGAGGCGCGAAAGCCAGGGGAGCAAACGGG
This 253-nucleotide ribosomal RNA is filed under the name uncultured bacterium. RNAcentral's name for it is "partial 16S ribosomal RNA". It matches the Rfam family "Bacterial small subunit ribosomal RNA", at positions 524 to 776 of the family's 1533-position model. The record is from RNAcentral.